This 83-nucleotide transfer RNA is filed under the name Algisphaera agarilytica. It matches the Rfam family "tRNA". From Rfam's summary of the family: Transfer RNA (tRNA) molecules are approximately 80 nucleotides in length. Their secondary structure includes four short double-helical elements and three loops (D, anti-codon, and T loops). The record is from Rfam by way of RNAcentral. Lineage: Bacteria; Pseudomonadati; Planctomycetota; Phycisphaerae; Phycisphaerales; Phycisphaeraceae. RNAcentral also lists the same sequence under 1 other name.
GGCCGGGUGCCCGAGUGGACCAAGGGGGCGGAUUGCAAAUCCGCUUGCGUAAGCAGUCAUGGGUUCGAAUCCCAUUCCGGCCU